GUAGGUGGCAAGCGUUGUCCGGGAAUUAUUGGGGCGUAAAGCGCGCGCAGGCGGUUCUUUUAAGUCUGAUGUGAAAGCCCACGGGCUCAACCGUGGAGUGUCAUUGGAAACUGGAGAACUUGAGUACAGAAGAGGAAAGCGGAAUUCCACGUGUAGCGGUGAAAUGCGUAGAGAUGUGGAGGAACACCAGUGGCGAAGGCGGCUUUCUGGUCUGUAACUGACGCUGAGGCGCGAAAGCGUGGGGAGCAAACAGGAUUAGAUACCCUGGUAGUCCACGCCGUAAACGAUGAGUGCUAAGUGUUAGGGGGUUUCCGCCCCUUAGUGCUGCAGCUAACGCAUUAAGCACUCCGCCUGGGGAGUACGGCCGCAAAGGCUG
Molecule: ribosomal RNA, 376 nt
Filed under: uncultured organism
Description: partial 16S ribosomal RNA
Rfam family: Bacterial small subunit ribosomal RNA
Source: RNAcentral